Molecule: transfer RNA, 72 nt
Organism: Ovis aries (sheep)
Lineage: Eukaryota; Metazoa; Chordata; Mammalia; Artiodactyla; Bovidae
Rfam family: tRNA
About the family: Transfer RNA (tRNA) molecules are approximately 80 nucleotides in length. Their secondary structure includes four short double-helical elements and three loops (D, anti-codon, and T loops).
Source: Rfam
UCCCUGAUAGUUCAGUUGGUAAACAAUCUGCCUGCAAUGCAGGAGACUCUGGUUCGAUUCCUGAGUUGGGAC